Molecule: ribosomal RNA, 553 nt
Filed under: uncultured Nitrososphaerota archaeon
Lineage: Archaea; Thermoproteati; Nitrososphaerota
Description: bacterial SSU rRNA
Rfam family: Archaeal small subunit ribosomal RNA
Source: RNAcentral
ACGGGGUGCAGCAGGCGCGAAACCUUUGCAAUGUGCGAAAGCACGACAAGGUUAAUCCGAGUGUCUCCUGCUAAAGGAGUCUUUUGUCAGUUGUAGAAUCACUGAUGAAUAAGGGGUGGGCAAGUUCUGGUGUCAGCCGCCGCGGUAAAACCAGCACCUCGAGUGGUCAGGAGGUUUAUUGGGCCUAAAGCAUCCGUAGCCGGUUGCAUAAGUUUUCGGUUAAAUCUAUGCGCUCAACGUAUAGGCCGCCGAAAAUACUGUGCAGCUAGGGAGUGGGAGAGGUACACGGUACUCAAUAGGAAGGGGUAAAAUCCUUUGAUCUAUUGAUGACCACCUGUGGCGAAGGCGGUGUACCAGAACACGUUCGACGGUGAGGGAUGAAAGCUGGGGGAGCAAACCGGAUUAGAUACCCGGGUAGUCCCAGCUGUAAACGAUGCAGACUCGGUGAUGCAUUGGCUUGUGGCCAAUGCAGUGCCGCAGGGAAGCCGUUAAGUCUGCCGCCUGGGAAGUACGUACGCAAGUAUGAAACUUAAAGGACUUGGCGGGCGAGCAC